CGGAAUAAUCCAGUAGUUGGCUGCUUGAAAGAUACUGUAAAUAGCUCCAACAGAGUGCAGUUUGGGGCAGCUUCCAAUUAGCCUUCGCUUGCAGUCUUUUGUUCCCUGCCAAGUUUGUGCAGCGAGCAUCCAACGCCCCGCCCUCUGCUUGGCUCAGAGUCGCAGGGCAGGGAGGAGUCAAGUGUGUGAUCAAGCUGAUAGAUGUCAGCUCCAACGUGUACGGAUGUCCCACCUGAAAGCUGACAAGGGGGAUUAAAAGGUGCUUUCGAAACGGGUGUGCCUGGCAGUGUGGCAGUGAAGGGAGCUUGUUUCCCUGGAGAUGCAUCUGAGCUAAAAACAAAGCUGAUGGCCAAUUAAAAGACAUCCCACAGAAAUACCCCAGAAACAUUAUCCCUGCGAGUUGAUGGAGUUUACUUGCUCAAGUCCUACUUCUUUGGCAAGGCUAUGAUUGCAUGCCAGGUCUCCUUCCUAGGCUCUGAGUGCCCACUGGGAUCCCCACCCUAGGCUCCAGGAGAAGAGAGAGAACCCGACGGGGCAGUCUAGCUGCAGCUACAAAGCCCAGCAUUAGACAGUGCACGCUUUGGAGUCAUCCUACCUCAGGCUGAGAGUUCAGUCAGAUCCUAACACGGAGUUUAAUUUCUCUGUUUCUUCACCAAGGCAACCAAUUUAUACUGUUGUCACCAAAAAGUAUUUAUUUGUUUAUUUAUUAAAAAUAUAGAACACUGGGGCUGGCCCCGUGGCUUGAGUGGUUAAGUUCGCGCGCUCCGCUGCAGGCGGCCCAGUGUUUCGUUGGUUCGAAUCCUGGGCGCGGACAUGGCACUGCUCAUCAGACCACGCUGAGGCAGCGUCUCACAUGCCACAACUAGAAGGACCCACAACGAAGAAUAUACAACUAUGUACCGGGAGGCUUUGGGGAGAAAAAGGAAAAAAUAAAAUCUUUAAAAAAAAAAAUUAAAAAAAAAAUAUAUAGAACACUAACCAUACAGCAGGGGCUGUGCUAACUGCUGGUGCUGGUGCUGGUGCUGGGAGAGCUCGGGGUUCCCUUAUACACAUAGACACAGACCGUGACAACAGCUCAGUGUGUUAAUGCUAGCACAGAGAUCCCUGCCCAGUCUACAGGGACUCACAGGAGGAGCCUGGGAAUGGUAAGAAUAGCUUUCCAGCACUACUGAUAUUUGAGCUGGUGCUUGAAGAAAGAAGACAAGUUUGCCAGGUGGUGUGGAACAGGGGAAUGCAUUUAAGGUAGAGGACACAGCGCAAUGGCUGAGAGUCGGUCAAGGGUGUGAUCAGCCCUGAGGAUAGUGCCAAGUUCAGUGUGAUUGGUGUAAAAUGCUUUCAUUGGCAGUCCUACAUAGCUUCGGGUAUAAAUAUCUAGGUGACGGCCUCAGAUGGCUUUGCCUAUAGGUAUGGUAACAAAGUACUAUGGGUCAAAAAUUAGAACAUAAGGCCCGAAUAUAAGCCACUUAAAUCUUGGAGUCUAACAUAGAAAGAGAAACACAGGAAGAAAAAAUAUAAAUAUAUUUAUAAUUUAUAAAAAUAUAAAUAUAUUUAUAAUUUAUAAAAAUAUUUCUGGAAGAACUUUUUAAAGGAAAUUCUCAUAGUCUUCCGUAGGCGCCAAGCAUUGCUCUAAGAACUCUCUGUAUAUUAACUCAUUUAAUCUGCUCAGUAACCCGCUGAGGCAGAUCUAUUAUUCCUCACACUUAACAGAUCAGGAACCGAGGCAGAAAGUUCAAAUAACUUGCCCAAGGUCAAUCGGACAAUUAAUAACAGGGCCAGGAUUGGGAAGCCGAGAUGGAUUCCAUCUCCAGUACUCUUAACCACAAUGCUUUACCACCUCUCAUGAGGCAGUGGUAACACGGUCACCCCCAGAAGGUGAGAGGGGCUGGGGAGAUGAGGACAGAGGUGGGAGCCCUGUCACAUUCACAAUCUCUUCCUCGGCAUAUGGCAAUGUCCCCAACGAAGUGCCAGGCAACUUUCCACUGUAGAAUCUUUUGUAACUUCGGAUUCAAAACAAACGUAAAGAUAGAAACGGAACUGUUCUAAAAUGUUUAGGGUACAGGUACUGUCCCACAAAAAGGCCACAGGCAGCAGCUUGAAGGGAGGGAGCACAAGGAGCCCACAGACCCAUCAGCAACCCAUCAUGCUCCCUUUCCAUGCUCCCAGCCAAGUGGAGAAGCACAGUUCGACCACAGCAAGGGGAGCAGGGCUGCAAAAGGGUGGGCGAACCCACGCCUGGAAGACGGACCCAGUCACGUGGAAGUCCUUCCUUGUCCCUCUUUCCUUUCUAUUGUCACUUCCUAGUUCAGUCUCAGCCACUGCAGCUGCUCAAUGGCAAUGCAUUAGAAACCAAGACAAUAGCAACAGACCCCAGCAAGAUAGCUGUAAAAGAGACAGCUGCCAGGCCUCCUUCCACAAGAGCACUUCCCAACAGCAAAAGGUUGGCUUGGGCACCCGGAAGUGGAAGGCCCACACAAAAAAGCCCUGCUCCUCACUACCAACUCCAGUGCAAACCCCCACUCUAUCCUCCCUCCACUUUCUUGAAGCAGGAGCCCAUAUAUUAUACCAUGCCAUGGUUCAUUUCAGCAAAAAUCAACUAGCAUUCUUCUGACCUGGGGCAAAAAAUUCCCUCAUUGAGAUCCUGAAAAAUAACAUUACAUCAUGUUGCCCGUGUCAGGUUUAUAAAUGGGCCAGGGGGAGGCUGGGGUGUAACCUGACACUAUCAAAACACUGGCCCUUGGAGAAGAAAGGAGGCCAUUGUUGUAGGCUGUCAGCUCUCCUCUUGCUGGAGGUAAAGUGAGUUGAGAGAAAUGUUAGUGGGAGGCCAGGCCCGGCGCUGGCCCUCACUCCCCAUCUCCUAAGAAAUCAGGCAGCCUUCCUCCAAAACGGGGUUGCCCCCAUUUCCCGCGAGGUGUGUCACCCUCCUUUCCAUUCUCUGGGGAGGGUGGAUGAGCUAAGUAAUUUUUAUUCCCAUGUCUCAAAGCAAAGAAGCAGUUAAACAUAAGAUAACCAAGACCAGGGGCCUUUUUUUUCCCCCUUUUUUUCUGAGCAG
This is a long non-coding RNA of Equus asinus (donkey), 3049 nucleotides long. The record is from Ensembl. NCBI's taxonomy places the organism in Eukaryota, Metazoa, Chordata, Mammalia, Perissodactyla, Equidae.